Molecule: ribosomal RNA, 253 nt
Filed under: uncultured bacterium
Lineage: Bacteria
Description: partial 16S ribosomal RNA
Rfam family: Bacterial small subunit ribosomal RNA
Source: RNAcentral
UACAGAGGGGGCAAGCGUUGUUCGGAAUUACUGGGCGUAAAGGGCGCGUAGGCGGCCUGCUAAGUCGAACGUGAAAUCCCUGGGCUCAACCCAGGAACUGCGUCCGAUACUGGUUGGCUUGAAUCCGGGAGAGGGACGUGGAAUUCCAGGUGUAGCGGUGAAAUGCGUAGAUAUCAUUUGGAACGCCAAUGGUGAAAACAGGUAGCUGGGAGUGUGCUGACGCUGAGACACGAAAGCCAGGGGAGCGAACGGG